This 765-nucleotide ribosomal RNA is filed under the name Lactiplantibacillus plantarum. RNAcentral's name for it is "bacterial SSU rRNA". It matches the Rfam family "Bacterial small subunit ribosomal RNA", at positions 680 to 1443 of the family's 1533-position model. The record is from RNAcentral. Lineage: Bacteria; Bacillati; Bacillota; Bacilli; Lactobacillales; Lactobacillaceae.
GGUGAAAUGCGUAGAUAUAUGGAAGAACACCCAGUGGCGAAGGCGGCUGUCUGGUCCUGUAACUGACGCUGAGGCUCGAAAGUAUGGGUAGCAAACAGGAUUAGAUACCCUGGUAGUCCAUACCGUAAACGAUGAAUGCUAAGUGUUGGAGGGUUUCCGCCCUUCAGUGCUGCAGCUAACGCAUUAAGCAUUCCGCCUGGGGAGUACGGCCGCAAGGCUGAAACUCAAAGGAAUUGACGGGGGCCCGCACAAGCGGUGGAGCAUGUGGUUUAAUUCGAAGCUACGCGAAGAACCUUACCAGGUCUUGACAUACUAUGCAAAUCUAAGAGAUUAGACGUUCCCUUCGGGGACAUGGAUACAGGUGGUGCAUGGUUGUCGUCAGCUCGUGUCGUGAGAUGUUGGGUUAAGUCCCGCAACGAGCGCAACCCUUAUUAUCAGUUGCCAGCAUUAAGUUGGGCACUCUGGUGAGACUGCCGGUGACAAACCGGAGGAAGGUGGGGAUGACGUCAAAUCAUCAUGCCCCUUAUGACCUGGGCUACACACGUGCUACAAUGGAUGGUACAACGAGUUGCGAACUCGCGAGAGUAAGCUAAUCUCUUAAAGCCAUUCUCAGUUCGGAUUGUAGGCUGCAACUCGCCUACAUGAAGUCGGAAUCGCUAGUAAUCGCGGAUCAGCAUGCCGCGGUGAAUACGUUCCCGGGCCUUGUACACACCGCCCGUCACACCAUGAGAGUUUGUAACACCCAAAGUCGGUGGGGUAACCUUU